RNAcentral lists this ribosomal RNA (373 nucleotides) under uncultured bacterium. RNAcentral describes it as "bacterial SSU rRNA". It matches the Rfam family "Bacterial small subunit ribosomal RNA", at positions 28 to 402 of the family's 1533-position model. The record is from RNAcentral.
GACGAACGCUGGCGGCGUGCCUAACACAUGCAAGUCGAACGGGACCAGGGGCAACUCUGGUUCAGUGCCGGACGGGUGCGUAACACGUGAGGAACAUGACCUUGGCGGGGAGUAGCCGGCCCAACGGCCGGGUAAGUACCGCGUACGACCACAUGGGGACGAUCCCUGAGUGGUGAAAGCAGCAAUGCGCCGAUGGAGUGCCUCGCGGCCUAUCAGCUAGUUGGUGAGGAACGGCUCACCAAGGCGACGACGGUAGGCUGGUCUGAGAGGAUGGCCAGCCACAUUGGGACUGAGACACGGCCCAGACUCCUACGGGAGGCAGCAGUGGGGAAUAUUGCGCAAUGGACGAAAGUCUGACGCAGCGACGCCGCGU